Molecule: long non-coding RNA, 3033 nt
Organism: Papaver somniferum (opium poppy)
Lineage: Eukaryota; Viridiplantae; Streptophyta; Magnoliopsida; Ranunculales; Papaveraceae
Exons: 5
Source: RefSeq, a predicted model, not a curated record
UAAAAUACUUUGCCAUGAGUACUUUGCAUCUCCCACUAAACCCUAUGCCCCCUAUCUCAAUGCAACUGCCGAGAAAAAAAAGAAAAAAAAAACUCUGCAACUCUCAGAACCGCUGUUUGGUUUGAUCAAUCCUCUCAAAAUUUGCUCUUCACAAUCGCAAUCAAUCCCAGCAACUUAACUACAGCGACUUCGAUAUUCACGCGCAGAAGAAGAAUCUUCACUUCACCUACAGGUGGGUUUUUCUCAAUUCCUUCAGUUGAUAUGUUAAGGGCAAUUACUAAUUACAAAAUUGGGUGCACUCUUUUUCUUACAGCGUUUGAUAUAAUGCAGCAGGUAAUUAUAUCUUUUCCUUUCACUCUUUCUGUCUUCCAGAUUCCCAUUUCGGAUAAAGUUCUAUUUGAAUUAAUAAAGAUUAAUAUUUUCACGUCUUGAAUUCAAUGUACAGCAGUCGUAGCAUUGUGCUGAUUUUUUAGAAGAUAGAAAACUUCGUUUAUUUUGAGAGAGUAACCCUAAUGCAAUUUAAGUGUUUGUGGAAAAGACGAGCAGAAAUUCAUCUUUAAUUUUCACUCCAUUGGUUUGUGGUACCAUGGAUAACCUUGAUUUAAGACAAAUCUAUAAUCAUGGAAGGAAUCAGAGUUUAAAGUUUUAACUUUAAGAUAAUUUAAACCAUGUUCUUGAACGGAGAAGCAAGAGUUAAGUCAACAAAUUUCGUGCUAGGACUAAAAAAACCCUCAAAAUCUGUAGCUACAGAGCCUCCAAAUCCGAAGGUAUAUGCUUUUCAAAGGGUAUUCCUAAUUUAUGGAUAGAGAUUGGAAUCAAUUGUUAGGUUAGAAUAUAUACAUCAAUUCCAAAACGGGAGAUGCGGAAGGGUCUCUGUUUUUAGAUCAAAGGGAGUUAGUAAAACUGAAGAGCUAUUUGUAUAGGAGACAUGGAUAGAAGCUUCAAAAAUCUUUCCCUAAAUUUGAGGUAUCCAUUCUCUCUUUCACUAUUGAAUGAACAUUUGAAAUCUUAUCUCUAAUAUUGAUUUUGUUUUAGAUUGUUGAUGAAAACAAAAUCUUUGCCUGAUUCAUUUUUUUUUCCCGUCUGCAAGUGAUAGCUGAGAUAGAAUGUUCAUGUGACCUGAUUCAUUUCUAGGGUUUGCAGAUUAAGCUUUGUAAAGUCCCUUUUUGCUUCUGCUAUUUUGGGGGCUUUAGCAGGUUUAUGAAACUUUUGGUGAAAGAAAUUCGUUAAACCAUGUCACUAAUAAUUAAAAAAAAAAUCCGCAAGGCUUUUUUGGCAGCAACAGGGCAAAAGCUGACAGGCUAACAACUUAGUAUCGUUAUAUCCUUACACAGGGCGUGUUGAGAUUCCAGUGUCACAGGGUAAAGCAGGUAAUUGAAUAUUUCGUCAUUUCGAUGUUUGCUCACUAAAUUAUAUGGCAUACUUCCUCAUGGACACAAGUGAAUGCUAUCUAAUAUGAGAAUUAGUGGAAUGUUUGGCCUUGCAUCUUCUCUUAGAACCAUUGCUCUAUUAUCUUCGCAAUGUUACUUAACUCUGAUGAUUUGAGUAAGGAUUUUCUUUCCCGAGCCAAAAGGGACAAGGGUUUCAGUCAGGUGAAGAUGGCAUCAUUGGAUGAUCUGGGAAUAUGCUAACGUUGACAUCUGUUUCGACCGCCAUCAAAGGUUUAUAAUAUUAAAAAGUAAAUUAAGGGAAUGGGACAUAGCUUUUACGGACAAAUUGGAUAACGACGGCCUUGCACCUCAUGUUAGCAUAUGAGAACUAUCGCUCCAUUAUCUUUCGCUAUGAUGUGUUUAACUCUGAUGGCAUGGUUUAAAAAAGCGUUUGUGGGGCGCGCUUUAGGUCGCUUUUUUGCGCUUUAGGUUGUGGGCGCUUCUAGAGCGCCGCUAUAUGAAUUGGUAUAUAUUAGGAAAAAAAAAGUUGGGCUUUGAAGCCCAAUAAGGCCUUUUUCAUGUUUUCUAAUAAACCUAAUUUUUUUAUUUCCUUUUUCAGAAACGUUUCUUCUUCUGCCUCUUCUUCUUAUAUCUCUUUUUAUUCCAAACGUUUCUUCUUCCACAGCUUUUUUUUUUUUUUUUCUCUUCUGCGCUGUGUGAUCAAAGUCCAGAAUCUUGCUCUUCUAUUCUGUGUUCAUCAUCAUCUAGUCUACAAAUAUGGCUAGCAGCAGUACUAGCAAAGCUAAGAAAGAUAUGAGAACAGAUGCUGCUUGGAAGCAUGGAACUUAGGUUGACAACUUUUUAUUUAAGUAUAUUAUUAUAUAUUUUAAAAAGCUCGCUUUCGCUCUACGCUUUCCUAGCGCUUUACGCUUUGGUAUGACAGCGCUUUGCCCCACGCUUUUGCUUUUUAAAACCUUGUCUGAUGGUUUCAAUAAUACUUUUGUUUUCUGAAUCAAGGGACAAGGGUCACAGGUGAGGAUGUCAUUAUGAGAGACCGCACCCACUGCACGGGAUAAUCCUCAACAAGGGCAAGCUUCCAUUACAAACAAUGUGUCCACGGUGCCAGCAUCAGGCACAGUCAAAGCGAAAUAGCAGUCAGGUAUUACUCAAGUUUAUUAAAUACCUGCUGGAAUACCUUAGGUUUUAUUCAAGUUUAUUAGUAGGCAUGGAACUGUCGGCAUGACAUGCACACAAGAAGAUAUCCCAUAGUGAAGGCAUCACCAUCACCUCAGACAUCAUUGUGAACCCACAUCUACUCCUUAUGAAUGACAAUGGUCAGCUUAUUGACUGAACCAUGAGAAAGGUUGAAGAUCAUUUGAGGUAUAAGAGGGAGAUGCUACUUCCUUUGCUUAUUGUUGUAGCGUGAGUAUGUCAUCAUGAGAGCCAAAGGCCUUCUGUUGGGCUCUAUUUGUGUAGUUGUCCCUUUGCGGGUUGUAUAAUAGUUUUGGCAUUAUUUUCUAAGUUAACUUGGUCAAAUCAACAACUUGGAUUGCUAUUAGAUGCAGAGUUAGGUCAAUAUGUUCUAUGGAAAUUACACUCAUGUAAACUAUUUUAAAUCCUACUCUUGAAAGUUGAUUUUUUUUAAUGAUUGAUUUUUAUAACA